Molecule: long non-coding RNA, 1081 nt
Organism: Pelodiscus sinensis (Chinese soft-shelled turtle)
Lineage: Eukaryota; Metazoa; Chordata; Testudines; Trionychidae
Source: RefSeq, a predicted model, not a curated record
AUUUGCAUGGCAUAAAUUGCGUAGCUUAUUUUGAGGUAAGAUUGCAGUGUAGACACACCUUGAGGUGCCACAAUACUAGAAAGCAGUUAUCACAACAGAAAGAGUUCACUAAUAAAGACCUUUUUAUUAUCAAUUUUAAGAAUUGCUGAGUUAGUGAUUCUCCAAACUUGUAAAUCUUUGAAUCCUUUAAUAUUAGAAAGAUCCACUUGUGAAUCACCUUCCGAAUCUGAUUCCAUUAUGUUCCUUGCAGCAUUCUGUGUCUGUUCUGGUGGAAGGAGCUUAGAUGUAAUUGGGAAUUACAUUGGUAAAUCAAAUAACAAUGAAUGGCCCCUGUUAUUAUCGUUUACAACAUUUAUAUGGGGAAAAAGGUUCCGGAAGGAACCUUCAUUGCUUCAUUGCAGUGUCACAAACCCAUGGGUGGAAUGUUCUAAUGCAGAAACUGCAGUUUUCUCCCAGAAAAUGUGUGGCUGGUAUAUUAAAUUAACAGCAGACCGCUGAACAGCAAAUAGGUCAGUACACACAAAGAAAGUGAGGAAUUCUGCUUUACUGGACUCUGCAUAUAUGCUGUGUAUCAUUAUCGAGGCAAAGGAAUAGUCCAAAUUUCAGAAAAAAAGGACUCUGCUGAUAAUCCAAACUCUUCCAAAAGAGAUUAUUUAUUUAUUAUAUGGUUUCCAUAAUUUAUCCAUUCUAUGAGCAAGACAUAAACUGCAUUGUGGGGUUGCAUCUCGCAAAACCGGGACACGCUUGUCUGGCAACAUCCAUGAUCUGGCAGGACUACAGAUGUUCUUGAAUGAGAGCCCCAGGGCAGGAGGACAAGCAGCCGAGAACCCUGCACAUGUCGAGGCUGGUGGUAGUGGGGCCAGAGCCUCAGCAGCCCAGCAGCAGUAGCGGGGCCAUAAGUAGCGGGACAGAGGCAGACAGGCAACCCCGCUGGGGCCAGAGCAGCCUGUUCCACAGAGCAACACAAUUGGGGCUGUGUGCUGACCCGGAAGCAGGGCAGAGCCGCAGCAGCCUGGCUGGUGAUAAGGCUGGGCUGUGGCAGUCCAGCAGGGAAAACCUAUCAGGAGCUGUGGCUGUGGAG